GUCUACAGCCAUGCUACCCUGAAUAAGCCCAAUCUUGUCUAAUCUCAGAAGCUAAGCAGGGUCAGGCCUGGUUAGUACUUGGAUGGAAGACCACCUAGGAAGACCAGGAGCUGUAGGUG
Molecule: ribosomal RNA, 119 nt
Filed under: Pteropus alecto (black flying fox)
Lineage: Eukaryota; Metazoa; Chordata; Mammalia; Chiroptera; Pteropodidae
Source: RNAcentral